Molecule: ribosomal RNA, 254 nt
Filed under: uncultured bacterium
Lineage: Bacteria
Description: partial 16S ribosomal RNA
Rfam family: Bacterial small subunit ribosomal RNA
Source: RNAcentral
UACGUAGGCAGCGAGCGUUGUUCGGAGUUACUGGGUGUAAAGGGUGUGUAGGCGGUUCUCUAAGUUUGGUGUGAAAUCUCCCGGCUCAACCGGGAGGGUGCGCCGAAAACUGGAGGGCUAGAGUGCGGGAUGGGAGAGUGGAAUUCCUGGUAUAGCGGUGAAAUGCGUAGAUAUCAGGAGGAACACCCAUGGCGAAGGCAGCUCUCUGGUCGACAUCUGACCGCUGAGACGCGAAAGCGUGGGGAGCGAACGGG